CGGUUAAGUUAGAAAGGGCGCACGGUGGAUGCCUUGGCACUAGGAGCCGAUGAAGGACGGGACGAACACCGAUAUGCUUCGGGGAGCUGUAAGCAAGCUUUGAUCCGGAGAUUUCCGAAUGGGGAAACCCACCACUCGUAAUGGAGUGGUAUCCAUAUCUGAAUACAUAGGAUAUGAGAAGGCAGACCCGGGGAACUGAAACAUCUAAGUACCCGGAGGAAGAGAAAGCAAAUGCGAUUCCCUGAGUAGCGGCGAGCGAAACGGGACCAGCCCAAACCAAGAGGCUUGCCUCUUGGGGUUGUAGGACACUCUGUACGGAGUUACAAAGGAACGAGGUAGAUGAAGAGGUCUGGAAAGGCCCGCCAUAGAAGGUAACAGCCCUGUAGUCAAAACUUCGUUCUCUCCUGAGUGGAUCCUGAGUACGGCGGAACACGUGAAAUUCCGUCGGAAUCCGGGAGGACCAUCUCCCAAGGCUAAAUACUCCCUAGUGACCGAUAGUGAACCAGUACCGUGAGGGAAAGGUGAAAAGCACCCCGGAAGGGGAGUGAAAGAGAUCCUGAAACCGUGUGCCUACAAGUAGUCAGAGCCCGUUAACGGGUGAUGGCGUGCCUUUUGUAGAAUGAACCGGCGAGUUACGAUCCCGUGCAAGGUUAAGCAGAAGAUGCGGAGCCGCAGCGAAAGCGAGUCUGAAUAGGGCGAAUUGAGUACGUGGUCGUAGACCCGAAACCAGGUGAUCUACCCAUGUCCAGGGUGAAGUUCAGGUAACACUGAAUGGAGGCCCGAACCCACGCACGUUGAAAAGUGCGGGGAUGAGGUGUGGGUAGGGGUGAAAUGCCAAUCGAACCUGGAGAUAGCUGGUUCUCUCCGAAAUAGCUUUAGGGCUAGCCUCAAGGUAAGAGUCUCGGAGGUAGAGCACUGAUUGGACUAGGGGCCCCUACCGGGUUACCGAAUUCAGUCAAACUCCGAAUGCCGAUGACUUAUCCUUGGGAGUCAGACUGCGAGUGAUAAGAUCCGUAGUCGAAAGGGAAACAGCCCAGACCGCCAGCUAAGGUCCCAAAGUAUACGUUAAGUGGAAAAGGAUGUGGAGUUGCUUAGACAACCAGGAUGUUGGCUUAGAAGCAGCCACCAUUUAAAGAGUGCGUAAUAGCUCACUGGUCGAGUGACUCUGCGCCGAAAAUGUACCGGGGCUAAACGUAUCACCGAAGCUGCGGACUGUUCUUCGAACAGUGGUAGGAGAGCGUUCUAAGGGCUGUGAAGCAAGACCGGAAGGACUUGUGGAGCGCUUAGAAGUGAGAAUGCCGGUAUGAGUAGCGAAAGAGGGGUGAGAAUCCCCUCCACCGAAUGCCUAAGGUUUCCUGAGGAAGGCUCGUCCGCUCAGGGUUAGUCGGGACCUAAGCCGAGGCCGAAAGGCGUAGGCGAUGGAUAACAGGUUGAUAUUCCUGUACCACCUCCUCACCAUUUGAGCAAUGGGGGGACGCAGGAGGAUAGGGUAAGCGCGGUAUUGGAUAUCCGCGUCCAAGCAGUUAGGCUGGGAAAUAGGCAAAUCCGUUUCCCGUGAAGGCUGAGCUGUGAUGGCGAGCGAAUUAUAGUAGCGAAGUUCCUGAUUCCACACUGCCAAGAAAAGCCUCUAGCGAGGUGAGAGGUGCCCGUACCGCAAACCGACACAGGUAGGCGAGGAGAGAAUCCUAAGGUGAUCGAGAGAACUCUCGUUAAGGAACUCGGCAAAAUGACCCCGUAACUUCGGGAGAAGGGGUGCUCUGUUAGGGUGCAAGCCCGAGAGAGCCGCAGUGAAUAGGCCCAGGCGACUGUUUAGCAAAAACACAGGUCUCUGCGAAGCCGUAAGGCGAAGUAUAGGGGCUGACGCCUGCCCGGUGCUGGAAGGUUAAGAGGAGCGCUUAGCGUAAGCGAAGGUGCGAAUUGAAGCCCCAGUAAACGGCGGCCGUAACUAUAACGGUCCUAAGGUAGCGAAAUUCCUUGUCGGGUAAGUUCCGACCCGCACGAAAGGCGCAACGAUCUGGGCACUGUCUCAACGAGAGACUCGGUGAAAUUAUAGUACCUGUGAAGAUGCAGGUUACCCGCGACAGGACGGAAAGACCCCGUGGAGCUUUACUGCAGCCUGAUAUUGAAUGUUGGUACAGCUUGUACAGGAUAGGUAGGAGCCUUGGAAACCGGAGCGCCAGCUUCGGUGGAGGCAUCGGUGGGAUACUACCCUGGCUGUAUUGACCUUCUAACCCGCCGCCCUUAUCGGGCGGGGAGACAGUGUCAGGUGGGCAGUUUGACUGGGGCGGUCGCCUCCUAAAAGGUAACGGAGGCGCCCAAAGGUUCCCUCAGAAUGGUUGGAAAUCAUUCGCAGAGUGUAAAGGCACAAGGGAGCUUGACUGCGAGACCUACAAGUCGAGCAGGGACGAAAGUCGGGCUUAGUGAUCCGGUGGUUCCGCAUGGAAGGGCCAUCGCUCAACGGAUAAAAGCUACCCCGGGGAUAACAGGCUUAUCUCCCCAAGAGUCCACAUCGACGGGGAGGUUUGGCACCUCGAUGUCGGCUCAUCGCAUCCUGGGGCUGUAGUCGGUCCCAAGGGUUGGGCUGUUCGCCCAUUAAAGCGGUACGCGAGCUGGGUUCAGAACGUCGUGAGACAGUUCGGUCCCUAUCCGUCGCGGGCGCAGGAAAUUUGAGAGGAGCUGUCCUUAGUACGAGAGGACCGGGAUGGACGCACCGCUGGUGUACCAGUUGUUCUGCCAAGGGCAUCGCUGGGUAGCUAUGUGCGGACGGGAUAAGUGCUGAAAGCAUCUAAGCAUGAAGCCCCCCUCAAGAUGAGAUUUCCCAUUCCGCAAGGAAGUAAGAUCCCUGAAAGAUGAUCAGGUUGAUAGGUCUGAGGUGGAAGUGUGGCGACACAUGGAGCUGACAGAUACUAAUCGAUCGAGGACUUAACCAAUUU
This 2933-nucleotide ribosomal RNA is filed under the name Bacillus velezensis. RNAcentral's name for it is "23S ribosomal RNA". It matches the Rfam family "Bacterial large subunit ribosomal RNA". Lineage: Bacteria; Bacillati; Bacillota; Bacilli; Caryophanales; Bacillaceae. The record is from RNAcentral.